UUUGCACAUUGUUAGAACCUGGAGCUGAGGCCAAUGUGGCCGAUGAACUCUGGGUGUAGGAAAUGUGCUACAUAAUCAUGCAGGCGCCUUUAACAUUGCUUGAGUCUAUGUGGCUCACCCAGUGAAGCUUUGUAGCAAUGCCUGCUACAUCA
Molecule: small nucleolar RNA, 152 nt
Organism: Amblyraja radiata (thorny skate)
Lineage: Eukaryota; Metazoa; Chordata; Chondrichthyes; Rajiformes; Rajidae
Source: RefSeq, a predicted model, not a curated record